AGCGAACGCUGGCGGCAGGCCUAACACAUGCAAGUCAAACGAACUCUUCGGAGUUAGUGGCGGACGGGUGAGUAACACGUGGGAACGUGCCUUUUGGUUCGGAAUAACUCAGGGAAACUUGUGCUAAUACCGAAUGUGCCCUUCGGGGGAAAGAUUUAUCGCCAUUAGAGCGGCCCGCGUCUGAUUAGCUAGUUGGUGAGGUAACGGCUCACCAAGGCGACGAUCAGUAGCUGGUCUGAGAGGAUGACCAGCCACACUGGGACUGAGACACGGCCCAGACUCCUACGGGAGGCAGCAGUGGGGAAUCUUGCGCAAUGGGCGAAAGCCUGACGCAGCCAUGCCGCGUGAAUGAUGAAGGUCUUAGGAUUGUAAAAUUCUUUCACCGGGGACGAUAAUGACAGUACCCGGAGAAGAAGCCCCGGCUAACUUCGUG
This 433-nucleotide ribosomal RNA is filed under the name uncultured bacterium. Its description in RNAcentral is "partial 16S ribosomal RNA". It matches the Rfam family "Bacterial small subunit ribosomal RNA", at positions 29 to 507 of the family's 1533-position model. The record is from RNAcentral.